This 252-nucleotide ribosomal RNA is filed under the name uncultured bacterium. RNAcentral describes it as "partial 16S ribosomal RNA". It matches the Rfam family "Bacterial small subunit ribosomal RNA", at positions 524 to 776 of the family's 1533-position model. The record is from RNAcentral.
UACGGAAGAUGCGAGCGUUAUCCGGAUUUAUUGGGUUUAAAGGGUGCGUAGGCGGGAUGCCAAGUCAGCGGUAAAAAUGCGGUGCUCAACGCCGUCGAGCCGUUGAAACUGGCGUUCUUGAGUGGGCGAGAAGUAUGCGGAAUGCGUGGUGUAGCGGUGAAAUGCAUAGAUAUCACGCAGAACUCCGAUUGCGAAGGCAGCAUACCGGCGCCCUACUGACGCUGAGGCACGAAAGCGUGGGUAUCGAACAGG